UGUAGUCCAAAACAUCUGGAGGGCCGAAGGUUGGGGAUGCCUGUACUAGGGGAUAUUUCUCUAUCAUUCCCAUCUUGGUUAACUUUCUAUUAUUAAUCAUGUGACUACCCAAGCUGAGCUCUGACUUGACAGAUAGGCAGUGCUGCAAUAGUACACAGGGUAGCUUACAAGAAUAGCCUUCAGUUCUUUAUAAGUUUGACAAGAGCUGGGCUGGUGCCAAAGGCUGAUUGCUUUACUGUGGAUUGCCAUGGUUAACCAUGAGUUGCUUGGUAGUAGUCUGUGGAGCCAUAUGCUCCAGCCCCUUACACCAGGAGUAGCCAAUGUGGUGUCCUCCAGUUGUUGUCGGACUGCAACUCCCACAAGCCUCAAGCUAACAUGGUCAUUGGUCAAGGAUGGUGGUCAUUCUACUCGCAACACCUGGCUGCCCACCUUUGCCCAACACCCCUUAAAAGCAGGGGUGGGUAACCUGUAGCCCUCCAGUUUUCGCUUGAAUCCAUUUCCUCUCAGUUCCAGCCAGAGUGGCCAAUGAUUAGGGAUGGCCAAUGGGAGAUGCAGUCCGACAACACUGGGGGGGGGGCAGUUUCCCCAUAUCUGUGAAAUACCCGCACUGUACCUAACUGAUAAUACAUCAGCGGCAGCAUUAGCCACAUUAACUUCCCACUUAACUCAGAAUGAGAACCAGAGUGAAAUUCUGAUUUCAGUCCAAAUGGAGCAAGACCUUUACAGCUGUGCUGGCUUUUGUCAGGCAGGGCUUUGCUUUCAGCUGCACAAUGUUCUAAUUUUUAAUUGUAAAACGAACAUGCAGACAUCACACAUAGAUGUUAUACACCAUUACAUUUUUAUCUUCCCUUCCUCCAUUGAGAGCUCAGAGAAACAUACAAAGUUAUCCCUGUGAAGUUAUCCCAUAACCCUGUAAAGUAGAGGGUUUUUUUGGCUGGGGCAGGCAUUAGGGCUGAGCGGUUAUUUUAAAUAUAGCACAUCUUUCCAGUGUUUCUGGCCUUUUAGCCCAUUUCCUUGUUAUUAACUUCGGGGACAGAUCAGGAACAGGAACGGGAUUCUCCCCAUCUCUUGGCACCAUCAGUUCUUCUUCCCCACCUUCCUUCCUGUUGAAAGCAGUGAACAACUGAAUGGAAGAUCCCCCAGUUAUCUCACAUUCAAAUUGCCAUAUUAUCUCCUAUAAAUUCAUUUCUCCCAUGUGUACAGGACUAUUCAAACCCUAAUCUCUCCCCAUUAGCUAUGUGGGUGGGGUGGAGGAAUAACAUGGCUAGAUUAUUUAUUACCCUGUUCAAUUUUUAAAUACCAACCUAUUUUUAAGUACAAUAAAAAUAUCCACUUAUGUAAUAAAGAUUUAGCAGUUAUCUCAAAUUAAGAUUAUUGACAAAAGAUGUCUUUUACAGUAAAUACCCUCUGUCAAUUGGAAUUUCAAAGCUUUGUAUGUGGAAGUGCCUUUUAUAAACUAUACAGUUAUUUUACAAACCGCCAAUCAUGACUAUUGCAUGAUGCGAAUGUUUAGAGGCGAGAGGGAAAGCUGAGGUUGAUAACCCCAAACAUUUUUAACCAGCUCUGUGACAAUUGUUUCAUAGCCUUGGUGUUGGGCUUUUACAUAUGUGGAAUGUUCCAGAAUACAGAAGCAUUCAAAAUGGAAAAAACAACAACUGAGGAGAAUUUUUUAAAAGGGAGGAGGGAAACCCUCUCUAUGCCUCUCCUAAACCAUUGUAUUUCGCCAUUAUGUCAGUUAACAACUACACUAGAAACAAGCAGCAGAUUUUUUUCCACUCUACUACUGUAAGGCAUUCUACAUUGAGCUGCCCUUGAAGACAGUCUGGAAACGUUAGUACAGAAUGCAGCCACAAGAGGAUUGUCACUUCCGUGCAUUGACAGAAACCCAAGACAGCAACUGCAACGAGAAAAGUCAUUUUCGUGAAAUGUGGAACCAGAGGACAGGGUCAAGGGAUUUUGCUUGCCUAGAAGAACAUCCAAGGAUGUCCAAAGACAGGACCAUCCCUCCCCACUUUUCUCCUUUAGACCAGCGUGCAACACAGUAGGAGCACAGAUGCACUACUGGUGCCUACAAAUCGAUAGCUCCAGAUUAUCAAACAACACACAAGCAGAGUCACAACAGAAGGUGGCUACAACCUACACAGGCACUGCCAUGUUUGCAAUGGAAAUUAACAAAGACUAAAGCAAGAUGUGGAAAGAGAUACAAGCCAAAGUGGAAACAAGCAUGAAUGCUGACUGCCAUCUGGCACAGAUGUCAUUUACUGCUGUUCAUGAUUCAGGCAUUGAGCGAUCCUCUCUAAGGACCUUGGCUUCACAUUUAUUCCGACCACAAAGCGUAUCUCUGAUAUAGUGUGGGGCUUCCCCCUGCCAAAAAAAGGUAUAUCCCCAAAUAUAUGACUCCAUUCUCCUUUCUCUAUAUAUUAUCCUGCUCCUGCUCCCUUCAUAUAGCUUUUAUGAAGACCCAUUUUAUAGCAGUGAAUUCUAGCAUGCAAUAAAGUCAUAAAGGCUGAUAUUUCAACAGUGUAAUAACUGCAAUUAUUUCAGUUCCUGUAUUUUUCAGUGGAGUCAGAAAUGCUGCUUUAGCAAACACAUGCACAAAAACACAGAUUUGAAGAAGUUGCAGGACAUUAUCACAAGCGACACAUAGGGCAUUUGAUGGGGGAUAUUUCUGAUUUCACACGACUACGACACACCAACAGAAUGUUCUAACAGGGGUCCAUUCUUCCAGUUCAAUGCUGGAAAUGGAGGAUAGUUUUCAGGGUUAUUUGUACUGAUCCCACUCAAGUCUCAUCCUUUCCGUGUGCCAGUUUUAUACAUCCUAACAGCUGGUUAGCAAGGAAGUUUGUGAACCUGCUUCUGCAUGUACAAAAGUCUCCAACUGACUAUUACAGCUACCAAUAGGUGCUACAGCUAGCCAGUAGGCCCCAUACUGAGCCUCUCAAUAGCACUGCCCUUGCCAACACCCAUCAUCUAAGGAGGGUGGCACAAUCUCAACCUCUUAAGUAUGGGGCUUCAAGCAGCAGAGAAGAGAAACAAGAGCACUGUAGCAAAGACGCAGAAGACUUCAGCUGGCUGUAGUAAGUAGUAACAGCUGGCUGAAGGCUACCCUACACCAAGGAAAUGGUUCAAAUGAGUUUCCCGUGCGAACUGGUCCUAAGCUACAAUUUUAAUAUCUGUCACCACUCCUUCCAAUAGCAAAUGCAGGUACUGAGUGCCAACAGCAU
This is a non-coding RNA of Podarcis muralis (Common wall lizard), 3224 nucleotides long. The record is from RefSeq and is a predicted model, not a curated record. NCBI's taxonomy places the organism in Eukaryota, Metazoa, Chordata, Lepidosauria, Squamata, Lacertidae.